GCCCGGCUAGCUCAAUCGGUAGAGCGUGAGACUCUUAAUCUCAAGGCUGCGGGUUCGAGCCCCGCGUUGGGCU
This is a transfer RNA of Aspergillus tubingensis CBS 134.48, 73 nucleotides long. It matches the Rfam family "tRNA". From Rfam's summary of the family: Transfer RNA (tRNA) molecules are approximately 80 nucleotides in length. NCBI's taxonomy places the organism in Eukaryota, Fungi, Ascomycota, Eurotiomycetes, Eurotiales, Aspergillaceae. The record is from Rfam.